Molecule: non-coding RNA, 3160 nt
Organism: Anas platyrhynchos (mallard)
Lineage: Eukaryota; Metazoa; Chordata; Aves; Anseriformes; Anatidae
Source: RefSeq, a predicted model, not a curated record
UCAGACUACAGAUCAUUCUCACAGAAUGAAUGUUUUAAUUAUUUUUUCAUGUUAAUGUCACUAGUCUGGAGAACUGCAGGCUUUCAGGAGUUAAAACAAAAUACAAUCACUUUGAUUUCUUUUCCUAGUUAACAUACAGCAAGUACUGUUUUCAGGUUUGAACUACAAAAAACUGCAUAAUCUUUACAUUCAACCACCUUUUCUUGUUUAACUUCAACAAACAGAAUGUAGGGAAACGUCUCCAAUUCUCUGAAAUCCCAACCUGUGGCCCACAUGAACAGAACAUCCCUCUUCAGGAUUCACAAGACACUCUGGAAAUGCAAGCACUUUACAUAACUAAGUGCCUAUUAAUUUGGUCGCUGCAUACACCCACACUGCCAGGAUGCAAGAAGGGAUUCUCUAGUGCAGACAGCAGUGCUGAAGCACAGAGCUGAAAGCAUUUGGUACUAGAACACAAAAGAACGUUGCUUAUCUACACUAAAUAAACGGCAACGUUAACUGCGUACUGGAAGAUUACGUUUUAUGCUUUUUCACUAUUUUUCACAUGCUACCAUGUUUUAGUUGACAAAGAAUUGUUUAAAAAAUAACAACAUAAGACACCCAACAUUUUCAUUCUCCUGCUGCAUCUUACUCUUCAUUUUAAAAGUGGAGAUUUUUUCAGUGCUUUCAUCGCUUUGACAAAAAGAAACGGUCAAGAGAAAUGUCAUGACCAGCACAAGUUGGGGAUAUCAUCCAACCUGAUUGACAGCAAACCCAAGUACACUCAGCCUAACCAGGAAGAAGAGCAUUAUCAGCUCUAAACUGCAAGAGGAAAACAAGCGCUUUGCACCUGGCUCAGAGCUGUACAAUCAACAGUGAUGCCACACACAGGUAGUGGAGAUCUUGACUCCCACUGCAAACUGUACUUCUCCAGAGGUACCACCUUCAAGUUUGUGACUCUAAGAGUCAAGAUGUUUGGGGAGGGAAGCUCUGAUACUAGCCAUGUAUUUUCCUGGCAGAGCUCCAGGAGCUAGAACAGCAAACACAUCACCCAGACAGGUUCUGUGACAUUCUGUGUUUAUACUAACACAGACCAUCAUACCAUCAGGCCCUUCAUCACCAUGCACCACCGGUGCAUGCCAUUAACUUUUAAUUCUCCCCCUCUGUGCCUGUUGUUACCUGUGAGAUGCUCUUCCAAGAGCUCAUGAUAGUUGCAGACCUGCUUUAUUCCCCUGCACAGACUUCUCCCGUUUUAACUGCCCCUAUCCACAAACAGAAGAUCAAAGUUCAGUCCUGGAGAUUUGUUUGCUUUACCCGCUCCUGCAGUGAGGUUCGGCAGGCAGUAAAUGACCGGGUGCUUUUAACAUUUCCUAUAAUUUACUUGUUUGGCAUUGCAAAUUCUGUGGCUGUUGAUGCUUUAUGACAGUUGAGCUACACACUGUCCCCACACGUACUUCUAAGGAACACCGAUGGGAAAAGCUCUGCAAAAGCUAAGGGGUGGGUGGAAACUAGGGCCAUCAACUCACCACAGGCUUUGGCAUCUUCUCUGCUACCUCCUUAUCUUUUUCCUUACUUCAAAAUACAAAAAAAUAUUGUUCAGGAAUUGUAUCCUGCAUUAUUGGGAAGCACUUCUCCCUGUGAAAGAAAGCAGCAGCUCACUUCUGGAAAUAGUUGGUGCAUCCAAUCAAAAACUCACGCUCACUUGACAAGAGGAUAGAGAAAAGGGCACUGAUGGGAGAACUACUUGAAAGAGAGACAAACUGCCAUAAAAAGUGUCCCAGAGACAUCAAGACACAACCACCUAGGAACAAACCCGCUCUUUACAAUCAGACAUCCCCCACAUGGCUGUUAACAGCCCAGACACAUUAACUAGGAGCACCUGGGUAACAGCCAAAAUAAAACACAUCCAGAUCUGUACCUACACGAAGACCUAUGCUUUACAUCCUUCUCACUCCUAGAGCGCAGCUAAAUGUGUGGCACUUGGGAACUUAAGAGCACCUCUUGCUUUAAAAAGCAGAUUUGCUGAUACACGGAACUGCAGCCCUCUACUCAGCCUUCCCGAGCUGCUUUAGCACCUUCUUCAAAGCUGCCUGCAAUUAGGUCCCUUGUUAGAAGAGAAAUAAUAUUACUUGAAACCCAAACCCCAUGUGAUUGUGCCCCAGAGGCGAUGCCUGCAGAACGAUGGAGGAGGUCAGCAGCACCACUGCAAACGCUUCCUGUAAUUUCAGAGAAGCGGAGGAGAGAAAGGAUGGGUGAAAUCCCGCGGCAGCUGCCGGAGGAGCGAAGGGAGAGAAGCGAGCCUGGAGACAGCCAACGAUGUAGGAAUCUCUGCUACCCUAAAAAAUAAUGAAAAAAAAAAAAGGAGCCAGGGUAGAAGCCUGUAGGAGUAGAAAUUAACACUUGGACAAUCGUCUUCCGUGCCUUCUGGUUUCUGCCUUGAGUUUAAAAGCAGACAGGCUUUCACUGGAUGUCAUUGUUAAAACAAGUUUUACGAUCCUCUGUGGCAUGACUUGACAUCUUAAUACGCGGGGUUGGCAACGCAAGAAAGUUCUGUUAUGUAAUUAAUCUCGGAUGAUUUCUAAGUAUUAAUUCGGAUGCAAGCUGAUUCAGAUAGCCCAAACCCUGGACCACAGGGGAAGAUGGGAAUUUCGUCAAAUUGACACCAAAGGGCCGGAGUUAGCAAUGGUCUUAUUUAAAGCCUUCACGCAGAUGAAUCCAGAGGAAGCUGCAAUUAUUCCUCUCCUUUAAAGAAUCACAAGAGCAAGUAAACAGCACAGCAUGUGACUGAGACAAUUCUGCCAUUCCUAUUAAUUAAGUGUAAAAUAGUGAAAACAAAGGAUAUUAUUAAACAUGUCAACAGAAAAUUAAAGCAGGGGCUGAUUCUUGAUGAACUGAGAGACAAAAAAAAGAAAUCUAAAGAAAAAAAAUAAUCUGAAACAGCUUCACUGAGGAGAACUCCCAAGAACAGGAACACCAGAAGAAGCAAACCAAGCAUAAAUUUACAAUAUAUGGGGCCCAGAUUGCAAAAAAUACCCACACAAGAGUCUAUUUGUUUUAUAUGCUGAAUUGCUGCUUCAGGAUGGGAACAGAUCCGCUCUACGCAGCAUGUGUGCAAUAGCACCUCGACUAUGGCUCUGAAUCCUGCGCCUUUGACAGACAAAGUGCACAAAGUUGCCAACCA